UACGUAGGGUGCAAGCGUUGUCCGGAAUUAUUGGGCGUAAAGAGCUCGUAGGCGGUUCGUCACGUCGGCUGUGAAACCCGAGGCUCAACCUCGGGCCUGCAGUCGAUACGGGCAGACUAGAGUUCGGUAGGGGAGACUGGAAUUCCUGGUGUAGCGGUGAAAUGCGCAGAUAUCAGGAGGACACCGAUGGCGAAGGCAGGUCUCUGGGCCACUACUGACGCUGAGAAGCGAAAGCAUGGGAGCGAACAGG
Molecule: ribosomal RNA, 250 nt
Filed under: uncultured bacterium
Lineage: Bacteria
Description: partial 16S ribosomal RNA
Rfam family: Bacterial small subunit ribosomal RNA
Source: RNAcentral